UUAGGGUAGUGGUAGAAAAGAAAGUAUUCACCUUUGUCUUCCUGUGUUGUCACAUUAGUGUAAAGAAGGGGCUGGUGGAGUUGCCUUUUUAUCAGAAAUUACCAUGCAGUUCUUUGCUCCUCUUGUUGAAUGUGUGAAUGUCAGCACAGUAAUUACAUGUGAACACAAUUUUCAAACUGCCAAAUAUUUUUGCUUUAUACUAAGUGCUGGUACUAAUGAUCAGGUGCCAAAGGCUGACAUGAAUUCACGUAUAAAAAGUUAUCCUCUGUAUUUUUUCUUUAUAGUUGUUCUGUUUCUUGUCAGCAGCACCUGUGUGCAUGCACUUGGAGGUUAAAAUUGCUCCUCAGAGGAUUAGCAAAUCUUCUGAAUAAGUCUCAGCUGGGGCUAUUGCCCUCCCACAGUUCCAUCCCAGCUGCCCUUUGUUUCUUUCUCACUGCCACUGCUCUCAGAUCAUUCCCAUUUCAUGUUCCUUCCUUAUCAGUUCAUCUCACACUCUCUGGAAGCAAACUUCAUACUUUGAUCAGCAUGUACUUUUAAAAAAUGUUGGUGGAGAAGAGGAGAUACUGGAGGCCUGCUGCUGCAGAGGUGGGGGCUGUCAGCCACUGAUGUGAUUGAGAAAGUUCUUAUUAUUAAGUUCUUCAUGACUUCUAUUGCCACUGAUACCUUUCGGAUCAAAGUAAUAUGAAGGCAGUUCAUGAGGCUCAGCAGAUAAAGUCCUGAAUAGGAUAAUGUGGAAUGUCUUUGCUAUUUGGCCUCAGUUGUACCUGGCCAAGAACUUCAGGUAAAACCUCUCCUCUUCUGACUUUGUAGCCUCAAGGCAAGGGCUGAAGAACUGAACUGAUGUGAAGACAAAAUUAUCAGUCCAGCCUUCUGUAAUCCUGUGUACAUCGUCCUUGGAGCCAGGCAGGGGCCUAUCAAACUAUCAGGGAGAUUUGCUUGUCUCACUGAUAUAACUUCAGCUCCUUGCUGAGGCACUGCCUUAUCACCACUGACAAGAUUACAGUGGUUUCCUUGAUAGUGUGGGGAACUUAGCAGGCAGCUGUGGCUAAUCCAGAAGGAAAUGUUCUCCCACUGAGGUACAUGGAGAUUUGAAUGCUGCAAAUAUAUUUGAAAAAAGAGUAUCAUUUUUAAAAGCAUGUUAAUUCUCAUUCUGCUUGCUGAUGCAUAGCUGCAGAUACAGGUUAGCAUUACUGCCCUCCUGUAAAAGCCAAGAACUCAGCCUGGACUGGUGCUCAUUGGCUUCUUGUGGAAGCUGGGAUGAGAAAUCCACGUGCAGCACCCUGAGGCACACAGGCCAUCUUCUGGGGACACUCUGGGAGGUGAUCUACUGUGAAGCUGAUGGUUUGUGUCACACUCUGCUGCUGUGAUAGCAAAAGGCACAAGUUCAUCUUUGUCUGUGUAAAACUGGACUCUGAGAUUUGUGUCUUGGCUGGGGAGUUGGUGCUCAAAGCCAUACAGUAAGACAAGGGGCUCAGGUAAUUUUCUGGGGUGCAACAAGCUUGGCCAGGCUCAUUUCAUCUGUGUGAGAAGAGCCAGUUUGGUCUCUGUAGAAAGUGAGCCCCCCAUUUUUCUCUUCUGGGGCUGGUGGGUUUACCCUGCCUGGAUGCCAUUUGCCCACCAAAGCCCUUCUGUCACUCCUGUUCUCAGAGGAAACGUGUGCACUUAGGAGACAACUGGCACUGUCAAUGCCUGCACUAGAGUAGUGAAAGAGCUCACAACAGCCUGUGGCUGGCUGCCCCUGCUUCAAGGCAAAUGUAAAUUAGGAAAACAGACUUAAAAUUGUUUCCCAGGGUUAAGGGGCUGCUUUGAUGGAGAACAAACAGUGAAAGGAAAUGAGCACACUUAUUAUAUUCCUGCAGAAGGCAGAAAGGCGACUGAGUUACAUGUGUUACAUAAACACUGAGGGACAGAGAUGAGUCCCUGCAGUCCAUAGAGCACAUGAAUGGGGGUAGGCAGAACAGUGUUGGUGUGGAUUAGCUCAGACUGUACAGUUACUGUGUGUUAGAAGUGAAACAAAAAAUGUAAUUUUAUUGCUAAUACAGCAGAAAUAAUUUAAAAAGGGAGUUGUGUUGGGAGGCAUACCUUAAUGCUCAGGUAGGUUUGGGACUCUCUUAUGAGGCUCUUUAAAUUUUCUUUUUGCUGUCCUUGCUGUUUAGACCUGGAGAGCAUUUUGUUGUUGUUUCACUUUUUCUAUUUGUUACCAUAGAAUAAAAUACUUAACUGAAAGGGAAGAAUGUUUUGAAGUAAGAAAAACCUAUUUUCAGUGAGUUAGAAAACUAAACCACUGAUAUUUACCAGUACAUCAGUCCAUAUUAGUUUGGUAAUAACUCUUUGUGCUUGAAAAGUUUUACCUGCUUGGCUGCUUCCUUUGGGACUAAGAAUUGACUGAAAGAGAAUUUCAAUAAGUGCACUGCUUCCAAGGGCUUUGAACAACAUGCAGUGGGCAAGGGUUGUGUAGUGUUGUAUUGUAUUGUAUUAUCCAGGAUUUCAUUCUUUGAAGAGAUGGAGAGAGAGCAAGCUAACAGUGUGUU
Passer montanus (Eurasian tree sparrow) is the source of this 2531-nucleotide long non-coding RNA. RefSeq lists it as uncharacterized. The record is from RefSeq and is a predicted model, not a curated record. NCBI's taxonomy places the organism in Eukaryota, Metazoa, Chordata, Aves, Passeriformes, Passeridae. The transcript has 3 exons.